AAUAAUGAAAACUUUCCAAAAAUAGCAAUUUUUAAGAAAAAUAUUUAAAAAUAUAAGCCAUAGAGAAAUACGACCUAUUGAUGAAAAACUCAGAAAGUAUACUCAUUUAUCCACAAAUAUUCUUGUUAUCCUAAUUUCAAAAUCACAAACCCUAAUCUACAAUAUUUAUCUAAAAAAUGAAAACUUUCCAAAAAUAUCAGUUUUUAAGAAAAUUAUUUAAAAAUACAACCUAUUGAUGAAAAACUCAGAAAGUAUACUCAUUUAUCCACAAAUAUUCUUGUUAUCCUAAUUUCAAAAUCACAAACCCUAAUCUACAAUAUUUAUCUAAAAAAUGAAAACUUUCCAAAAAUAUCAGUUUUUAAGAAAAUUAUUUAAAAAUACAACCUAUUGAUGAAAAACUCAGAAAGUAUACUCAUUUAUCCACAAAUAUUCUUGUUAUCCUAAUUUCAAAAUCACAAACCCUAAUCUACAAUAUUUAUCUAAAAAAUGAAAACUUUCCAAAAAUAUCAGUUUUUAAGAAAAUUAUUUAAAAAUACAACCUAUUGAUGAAAAACUCAGAAAGUAUACUCCUCUAUCCACAAAUAUUCUUGUUAUCCUAAUUUCAAAAUCACAAACCCUAAUCUAUAGUAUUUCUCUAAAGAAAUGAAAACUUUCAAAAAUAGAAAUUUUUAAGAAAGUUAUUUAAAAAUACAACAUAUUGAUGAGAAAUUCUUAAAGAAUAUUCUUCUAUCCACAAAUAUUCUUGUUAUCCUAAUUUCAAAAUCACAAACCCUAAUCUACAGUAUUUCUCUAAAGAAAUGAAAACUUUCCAAAAAUAGAAGUUUUUAAGAAAACUAUUUAAAAAUACAACAUAUUGAUGAGAAAUUCUUAAAGAAUACUCAUCUAUCCACAAAUAUUCUUGUUAUCCUAAUUUCUAAAUCACAAACCUAAUCUACAGUAUUUCUCCUAAAAAUGAAAACUUUCCAAAAAUAACAGUUUUUAAGAAAAUUAUUUAAAAAUACAAGUUAUAGAUGAAAAACCCAGAAAGAAUACUCAUCUAUCCACAAAUAUUAUUGUUUUCCUAAUAUCUAAAUCACAAACUCAAAUCUACAAUAUUUCUCUAAAAAAUGAAAACUUUCCAAAAAGAGCAGUUUUAAAGAAAAACUAUUUAAGAAUACAACUUAUUGAUGAAAAACUAAGAAAGAAUACUCAUCUAUCCACAAAUAUUCUUAUUAUCCUUAUUUCUAAAUCACAAACCCAAAUCUACAAUAUUUUCCAAAAAAAUGAAAACUUUCCAAAAAUAGAAUUUUUUAAGAAAUUUAUUUAAAAAUACAACCUAUUGAUGAGAAAAUCUUAAAGAAUACUCAUAUAUCCAAAAAUAUUUUGUUAUCCUAAUUUAUAAAUCACAAACCCUAAUCUACAAUAUUUCUCAAAAUAAUGAAAACUUUUCAAAAAUAGGAGUUUUUAAGAAAAAUAUUUUUGAAAAACUCAGAAAGAAUACUCAUCUAUCCACAAAUAUUUUUGUUAUCCUUAUUUCUAAAUCACAAACCCAAAUCUACAAUAUUUCUCAAAAAAAUGAAACUUUCCAAAAACAAUAGUUUUUAAGAAAAUUAUUUAAAAAUACAACUUAUUGAUGAAAAACUCAUAAAGAAUACUCUUCCAUCCAAAAAUAUUUUUGUUAUCCUAAUUUCUAAAUUACAAACCCUAAUCUACAAUAUUUCUCUAAAAAAUAAAAACUUUCCAAAAAUAACAGUUUUUAAGAAAAUUAUUUUAAAAAUACAACUCAUUGAUUAAAAACUCAGAGAGUAUACUCAUCUAUCCAAAAACAUUCUUGUUACCCUAAUUUCUAAAUCACAAACCCUAAUCUACAAUAUUUCACAAAAAAUGAAAAAUUUACAAAAAUAACAGUUUUUAAGAAAAAUAUUUUUAAAUACAACCUAUUGAUGAAAAACUCAGAAAGAAUAUUCAUCUAUCCAAAAAUAUUCUUGUUAUCAUAAUUUCUAAAUAACAAACGCUAAUCUUCAAUAUUUCUCAAAAAAAUAAAAAAUUUCCAAAAAUAGCAGUUUU
This 2046-nucleotide long non-coding RNA is filed under the name Brassica napus (rape). RNAcentral describes it as "long non-coding RNA (BNAP_LNC008340)". Lineage: Eukaryota; Viridiplantae; Streptophyta; Magnoliopsida; Brassicales; Brassicaceae. The record is from RNAcentral.